Molecule: unclassified non-coding RNA, 304 nt
Filed under: Pseudomonas segetis
Lineage: Bacteria; Pseudomonadati; Pseudomonadota; Gammaproteobacteria; Pseudomonadales; Pseudomonadaceae
Description: Long range pseudoknot
Source: RNAcentral
ACGGAGGAAGGGGAUUACCAGGUAAAACUACGCAACCUGGUACGUUUCCUUAGUGAGGGGGACAGGGCCAAGGUUUCAUUACGAUUCCGUGGUCGUGAGAUGGCGCAUCAGGAGUUGGGCAUGGAGUUGUUGAAGCGAGUUGAAGGUGACUUGCUUGAAUACGGCACCGUUGAACAGCACCCGAAGAUGGAAGGACGCCAGCUUAUUAUGGUCAUCGCCCCCAAAAAGAAGAAGUAAUCAACAGGGCACGGCAGGCCUUGCGAUUAUAUUUAUUAACUGAAUGCGGAGUAUCCGAACAUGCCAA